AACUUCAUCUUGAAUAUGUGUUAUGCAAUUCAAUGACAUGCUUUGAAUGAAAUGGGCAUGAGUUCUAGCAUUUGAAACUAAAUGAUGAAACGCCUUCUAAGUAGCAACCAAGCAAAGAAUAAUGAGAUCAUGCAACGACUUUUAGAAAACAAAGAAUGCACAGAUUUUAACUCUCCAAAUAAAUGUUUAGGCUCAAGUCUCACAAGGUUGUAGCGUUAGUUUGAGUUCCUUCCUUCAAGCAUGUUACAAAAACUGAUUUUUC
Molecule: long non-coding RNA, 262 nt
Filed under: Malus domestica (apple)
Lineage: Eukaryota; Viridiplantae; Streptophyta; Magnoliopsida; Rosales; Rosaceae
Description: long non-coding RNA (MDOM_LNC019461)
Source: RNAcentral